RNAcentral lists this unclassified non-coding RNA (380 nucleotides) under soil metagenome. RNAcentral's name for it is "partial contains 5.8S ribosomal RNA, internal transcribed spacer 2, and large subunit ribosomal RNA". The stretch from base 1 to 120 matches the Rfam family "5.8S ribosomal RNA", at positions 35 to 154 of the family's 154-position model. The record is from RNAcentral.
GAUGAAGAACGCAGCGAAAUGCGAUAAGUAAUGUGAAUUGCAGAAUUCAGUGAAUCAUCGAAUCUUUGAACGCACCUUGCGCUCCUUGGUAUUCCGAGGAGCAUGCCUGUUUGAGUGUCAUUAAUAUAUCAACCUCUUCAGCUUAUGCUUGUUGAGUGUUGGAUGGUGGGGGUUUGCUGGUGUCUUAUGAAGUCAGCUCCUCUGAAAUGCAUUAGCGGAACAAUUUGUUGACCGUUCAUUGGUGUGAUAAAAAUAUCUACGCUAUUGACGUCAGUCAGUUCAGCUUCUAACAGUCCAUUGACUUGGACAAAUUUUUCAUUAAUGUGACCUCAAAUCAGGUAGGACUACCCGCUGAACUUAAGCAUAUCAAAAGCGGAGGA